This 450-nucleotide ribosomal RNA is filed under the name uncultured bacterium. Its description in RNAcentral is "partial 16S ribosomal RNA". It matches the Rfam family "Bacterial small subunit ribosomal RNA", at positions 354 to 796 of the family's 1533-position model. The record is from RNAcentral.
GUGGGGAAUUUUGGACAAUGGGCGCAAGCCUGAUCCAGCAAUGCCGCGUGCAGGAUGAAGGCCUUCGGGUUGUAAACUGCUUUUGUACGGAACGAAACGGUCCUGGUUAAUACCUGGGGCUAAUGACGGUACCGUAAGAAUAAGCACCGGCUAACUACGUGCCAGCAGCCGCGGUAAUACGUAGGGUGCGAGCGUUAAUCGGAAUUACUGGGCGUAAAGCGUGCGCAGGCGGUGCUGUAAGACAGGCGUGAAAUCCCCGGGCUCAACCUGGGAAUUGCGCUUGUGACUGCAGUGCUGGAGUACGGCAGAGGGGGAUGGAAUUCCGCGUGUAACAGUGAAAUGCGUAGAUAUGCGGAGGAACACCGAUGGCGAAGGCAGUCCCCUGGGCCUGUACUGACGCUCAUGCACGAAAGCGUGGGGAGCAAACAGGAUUAGAAACCCUAGUAGUCC